This 429-nucleotide ribosomal RNA is filed under the name uncultured bacterium. Its description in RNAcentral is "partial 16S ribosomal RNA". It matches the Rfam family "Bacterial small subunit ribosomal RNA", at positions 355 to 774 of the family's 1533-position model. The record is from RNAcentral.
UCGAGAAUAAUUCACAAUGGACGAAAGUCUGAUGAUGCGACGCCGCGUGCGCGAUGAAGGCCUUCGGGUUGUAAAGCGCUUUUGUCAGGGAAGAAGAUUACUGGUGUUAAUAGUAUCGGUAGUUUGACGGUACCUGAAGAAUAAGCCCCGGCUAAUUUCGUGCCAGCAGCCGCGGUAAUACGAAAGGGGCAAGCGUUGUUCGGAUUUACUGGGCGUAAAGGGGGUCUAGGCGGACUCUUAAGUUUAUUGUGAAACCUCGGAGCUUAACUCCGAGCCUGCAGUAGAUACUGGGAGACUAGAGUAUGUGAGAUGCAAGCGGAAUAUUAGGUGUAGCGGUGAAAUGCGUAGAUAUCUAAUAGAACACCGGAGGCGAAGGCGGCUUGCAAGCACAAAACUGACGCUGAAGCCCGAAAGCGUGGGGAGCGAACA